This 2137-nucleotide ribosomal RNA is filed under the name Salmonella enterica subsp. enterica serovar Enteritidis. RNAcentral describes it as "partial 23S ribosomal RNA". It matches the Rfam family "Bacterial large subunit ribosomal RNA", at positions 685 to 2803 of the family's 2925-position model. Lineage: Bacteria; Pseudomonadati; Pseudomonadota; Gammaproteobacteria; Enterobacterales; Enterobacteriaceae. The record is from RNAcentral.
UAAUUGGGCGUUAAGUUGCAGGGUAUAGACCCGAAACCCGGUGAUCUAGCCAUGGGCAGGUUGAAGGUUGGGUAACACUAACUGGAGGACCGAACCGACUAAUGUUGAAAAAUUAGCGGAUGACCUGUGGCUGGGGGUGAAAGGCCAAUCAAACCGGGAGAUAGCUGGUUCUCCCCGAAAGCUAUUUAGGUAGCGCCUCGUGAAUUCAUCUCCGGGGGUAGAGCACUGUUUCGGCUAGGGGGCCAUCCCGGCUUACCAACCCGAUGCAAACUGCGAAUACCGGAGAAUGUUAUCACGGGAGACACACGGCGGGUGCUAACGUCCGUCGUGAAGAGGGAAACAACCCAGACCGCCAGCUAAGGUCCCAAAGUCAUGGUUAAGUGGGAAACGAUGUGGGAAGGCCCAGACAGCCAGGAUGUUGGCUUAGAAGCAGCCAUCAUUUAAAGAAAGCGUAAUAGCUCACUGGUCGAGUCGGCCUGCGCGGAAGAUGUAACGGGGCUAAACCAUGCACCGAAGCUGCGGCAGCGACACUGUGUGUUGUUGGGUAGGGGAGCGUUCUGUAAGCCUGUGAAGGUGUGUCGUGAGGCAUGCUGGAGGUAUCAGAAGUGCGAAUGCUGACAUAAGUAACGAUAAAGCGGGUGAAAAGCCCGCUCGCCGGAAGACCAAGGGUUCCUGUCCAACGUUAAUCGGGGCAGGGUGAGUCGACCCCUAAGGCGAGGCCGAAAGGCGUAGUCGAUGGGAAACGGGUUAAUAUUCCCGUACUUGGUGUUACUGCGAAGGGGGGACGGAGAAGGCUAUGUUGGCCGGGCGACGGUUGUCCCGGUUUAAGCGUGUAGGUGUGUGUUCCAGGUAAAUCCGGUUCACUUUAACACUGAGGCGUGACGACGAGGCACUACGGUGCUGAAGCAACAAAUGCCCUGCUUCCAGGAAAAGCCUCUAAGCAUCAGGUAACAUCAAAUCGUACCCCAAACCGACACAGGUGGUCAGGUAGAGAAUACCAAGGCGCUUGAGAGAACUCGGGUGAAGGAACUAGGCAAAAUGGUGCCGUAACUUCGGGAGAAGGCACGCUGACACGUAGGUGAAGUGAUUUACUCAUGGAGCUGAAGUCAGUCGAAGAUACCAGCUGGCUGCAACUGUUUAUUAAAAACACAGCACUGUGCAAACACGAAAGUGGACGUAUACGGUGUGACGCCUGCCCGGUGCCGGAAGGUUAAUUGAUGGGGUCAGCGCAAGCGAAGCUCCUGAUCGAAGCCCCGGUAAACGGCGGCCGUAACUAUAACGGUCCUAAGGUAGCGAAAUUCCUUGUCGGGUAAGUUCCGACCUGCACGAAUGGCGUAAUGAUGGCCAGGCUGUCUCCACCCGAGACUCAGUGAAAUUGAACUCGCUGUGAAGAUGCAGUGUACCCGCGGCAAGACGGAAAGACCCCGUGAACCUUUACUAUAGCUUGACACUGAACAUUGAGCCUUGAUGUGUAGGAUAGGUGGGAGGCUUUGAAGUGUGGACGCCAGUCUGCAUGGAGCCGACCUUGAAAUACCACCCUUUAAUGUUUGAUGUUCUAACGUGGACCCGUUACCCGGGUUGCGGACAGUGUCUGGUGGGUAGUUUGACUGGGGCGGUCUCCUCCUAAAGAGUAACGGAGGAGCACGAAGGUUGGCUAAUCCUGGUCGGACAUCAGGAGGUUAGUGCAAUGGCAUAAGCCAGCUUGACUGCGAGCGUGACGGCGCGAGCAGGUGCGAAAGCAGGUCAUAGUGAUCCGGUGGUUCUGAAUGGAAGGGCCAUCGCUCAACGGAUAAAAGGUACUCCGGGGAUAACAGGCUGAUACCGCCCAAGAGUUCAUAUCGACGGCGGUGUUUGGCACCUCGAUGUCGGCUCAUCACAUCCUGGGGCUGAAGUAGGUCCCAAGGGUAUGGCUGUUCGCCAUUUAAAGUGGUACGCGAGCUGGGUUUAGAACGUCGUGAGACAGUUCGGUCCCUAUCUGCCGUGGGCGCUGGAGAACUGAGGGGGGCUGCUCCUAGUACGAGAGGACCGGAGUGGACGCAUCACUGGUGUUCGGGUUGUCAUGCCAAUGGCACUGCCCGGUAGCUAAAUGCGGAAGAGAUAAGUGCUGAAAGCAUCUAAGCACGAAACUUGCCCCGAG